RNAcentral lists this ribosomal RNA (253 nucleotides) under uncultured bacterium. RNAcentral describes it as "partial 16S ribosomal RNA". It matches the Rfam family "Bacterial small subunit ribosomal RNA", at positions 524 to 776 of the family's 1533-position model. The record is from RNAcentral.
UACGAAGGGGGCUAGCGUUGUUCGGAAUUACUGGGCGUAAAGCGCACGUAGGCGGAUCGAUCAGUCAGGGGUGAAAUCCCAGGGCUCAACCCUGGAACUGCCUUUGAUACUGUCGAUCUGGAGUAUGGAAGAGGUGAGUGGAAUUCCGAGUGUAGAGGUGAAAUUCGUAGAUAUUCGGAGGAACACCAGUGGCGAAGGCGGCUCACAGGUCCAUUACUGACGCUGAGGUGCGAAAGCGUGGGGAGCAAACAGG